RNA transcript from Camelus dromedarius (Arabian camel), 3267 nucleotides. RefSeq lists it as uncharacterized. NCBI's taxonomy places the organism in Eukaryota, Metazoa, Chordata, Mammalia, Artiodactyla, Camelidae. The transcript is spliced from 4 exons. The record is from RefSeq and is a predicted model, not a curated record.
CCUUCGGGAUGACCUUGGACGAACGAUUCAACAUCUCAUCUGCCUUGGUCUCUGUGCCUGUGACAUAGAGCUGCAGGGAGAGCAGUGGUCUAUACACUCAGGAGACCAGCGACUCAAUUCUGUGCAAAAAGCAGCUCUUGGGAAAAUGAAACCACAAGGUCUGGACAGAGGACUCCGUCAAUGCUCUGAUAACUCACUGGACACCAAGCGAAGGGAGUGUCAGCUAAUUGUGAAAACCAGGCCAAGUGGCACAUUCCAGUCUUUAUUUUCCUUUAAACGUGGCCACUGAUUGUGUAACCUUGUGAUAGCUGUUGCUCCCUGGUGCAAACGGGACCAUUCUCUCCACCCACAGAUAGAAGUGGAGGCAGGCGCUCAGGACCCGCGGACGGGGCUGUCUUGAGACAGCACCUCUCCUGACAGCCCUUUCCCGGGUCCCUUUUGAUUUUUCCUGGGGACCCAUGCAAGCCACUCCUUUACCUGUCUUCCAGAUUCCUCCUCACCCAUGAUGCCAGUUAACCAUAAGGCCACCCAGGUCAUGGAAUCCAAGAAGUACUUUGGAUUAAGGUUAUCAGUCCAUUCACCUGCUGAAGGACAUCUUGGUUGCUGCAGAUGGCUUCUGAGAUGAGGAAUUCUUUUCUCCUAAGUCUUAAGUGGAAGCUGAUUAUGUAAAUCAGAAUAAAGGCAGAGAUGUUCUCAUUGAAGGAGAAAUAUUUUCCCUUCGACCCACACCCCUCCCAGGAUCCAGAAGCACCUAGGAUACUCUUGGCCUCGCCCGGUCUUGUCCUUGCUGUCAUCGGGGUGACUGGUUCUGUGAUGAGGUCCAACUGGUUCAUGACUGACAGACCUCGUCUCUGAUCCCUUUUGUCCAUCUUGUCUCCUGGCCUGCAUGUGAGUUCCACGUAUUUUAGUGAAGAAAACAAUUGAACAUGAUUUCCUUCUGAGGAUACAGAGUUGAAAAGCUAAUCACAGACGCACAGGUCUCGGUAGGAGAAGCCUUCUGUGUUUUGUGGGGGUCUGGAGCAAGGUGUGAGGAGGGAGGAGGGUGAGGUGUGUAUUCUGGAGAACUGGGGUGAGCUCUGCUUUAAGAAAAUGUAAUAUAAGAAAACUUAUAUUAGUCACAUAAGAAAAUUGGAGGGAGGGUUAUUUUCAUAAGAGUUCACCUCUGAAGAAAAUUUCCCCUCAAUUUUUUAAAUAUAGUAGAAUCCUUCCAGAGAAUAUGGAUUUAUUAUUACUACUAAUAUUAUUAUUAUUAACAACAAAAUAUUACUACUGUGUUUAUUUCUCAGCAAUAAUUCUAUCAUAUGAAUUCAUGUGUUUAUUUUGUAUAUUAAGUGUGCUUGCCUCCCCUCACCUAUUUUCUCCUUUAACUGGUUUCUAAUUGCUUUGGGGGUUUGGAGAAAGUCAAACAGAAUCUCUCAAAAUUGAGACAUUUACUAGGAAGACGUGGUGAUAACAUAAGUUAAAACAGCUUCAUUCUCUUUUCAGUUGUUUCAACCCACCAUUUCCCCUAGUUAGAUGUUAUCUUCUCUUAUACAUUUGAGGCUUUUUCUUUUUCUUUUUUUUAAAUUAAGGUACAAUCAGUUACAAUGUGUCCAUUUCCAGUGUACAGCACAGUGUCCCAGUCAUGCAUGUACAUACAUGUAUUUGUUUUCAGAUUCUUUUUCAUUAAAGGUUAUUACAAGAUAUUGAACAUAGUCCCCUGUGCUAUACAGAAGAAAGUUUUUUAAAAUCUAUUUUUAUAUAUAGUGGCUAACAUUUGUAAAUCUCAAACUCCCAGAUUUAUCCCUUCUGACCCCCUUUUCCCGAUAACUAUAAGAUUGUUUACUAUGUCUGUGAGUCUGUUUCUGUUUUGUAAAUGAGUUCAGUGUCCUUUUUUGUUCUUUUUUUUUUUUUAGGUUCCACAUAUGAGUGAUAUCAUAUGGUAUUUUUAUUUUUUCUUGAGAAAAAGCGUCAAUUGUAUAUUUAUAAAUUUAUAGUUCAUAAAUACAAAUAUAUUUAUAUUUAUACAAUUCAGACUGUUUCUUUGCGUAACCAGAUAUGUCACUUUUCAAGUGUUACUCAUCCACUCAAUGAGCCCUUGUUGUGCAACUGGGAUCAUUGUCAGGGUGUUAAUCCUGCGUCCUGGGAGGAUGCUCCCAUGUGAAUCAACCUCCAGAAUCCAUCGUGCUCAGGACUCAGCCCAGGCACUGCCCCCUGACCUCGCUGGGUGGGAUGCCCAGGUCCUGCAGUUCCUUGGGGCACUCACUUUCCUCCCUGAGCUCACCUAGCGCCUUCCCGGCCCAGCUAUGUGGUAACUUGGCCCUAGCUGUUGACCUGGGGGUCAGGAGGGGAUUUGGGAGGUGACCUGAAGGAGGGCAGGUGCUGCCUUUUGAAGUGGAGGCCCCUUCGUCCCCUCAAGCAGAGGGGGAGGGCUGAUCUUUGGUGGGAGGAGUAGCCAUCGCUGUAGGCCCAGAGGCUCCCCGUGGUUCUGGGGCUCACACUCCACCCUGAGGCUCAGAGUCUCCCUCCUUCCCGGGACUGCAGGCGAGGCAGGUGAGAAUCAGCCUUCCCUUGCCUGCAGCUCCCCGCCCUUGUCAUCAAGCCCUGCUCUCUGCCCUUCGGUUGCAGGGAUGAGUCUAUACGCGGCUAAGGGGGCCCUCUGACUCAGGUAUUUUGGCCUAACUUGGUGACUAACAGCCCUCAGCCUUUCAUUACUUUUCUCAGAUGCUUCCACAGCAUCGGACGACAGCCAUGUUGACUCCAUGAUAUUUAUAAUUGCCCCUCCCUGCCCUCAUCUCUCAGCGUGCCAACCAGAGCACUCCCGCCUUCCAGUGUUCCACCCAGGCCACCGAGGUGGAGUUCUAAUGAGUGCACUGCUUCAGCUGGCCAGGGGCUUUCAGAAUGCCACCUGUCCACCAGCAGCGGGGUCCUCAGGGAAGCCAGCGAGGGGGGAUUCAACCCCCAAAUCCCAUUUCAGACUCUGUUUCCCAGGACCACCUCCACUACCAACUGUGGGAGGUUGGGUUUCCCAGAAAACAGACUCAGAGACUGAGAUUUGCAUGUAAGCGCUUUAUUGAUGUGGGUUUGGGUUUCCAAAGUGAGGAAAGCGGGUCCAGCAGAGGAAGAGGUUGGACUGGGAUGUGUUUGCAAGAGGGACCUCUGCCAGUCCCAUGGGCAGCUCUGGGCUGGGGCCUUCAGAGUCCUCCCAGACUGAGACAAGAGGUUUCCGCCCCCGGAUCAGUCUUUGAAGGUGAGUUCCCUGAGCGAGGGCGAGCCUUGGGCAAAGCA